This 497-nucleotide ribosomal RNA is filed under the name uncultured bacterium. RNAcentral describes it as "partial 16S ribosomal RNA". It matches the Rfam family "Bacterial small subunit ribosomal RNA", at positions 28 to 507 of the family's 1533-position model. The record is from RNAcentral.
GAUGAACGCUGGCGGCGUGCCUAAUACAUGCAAGUCGAGCGAAAGGACCAGGACCUUUCUCCUCUGAUGUCAGCGGCGGACGGGAGAGUAACUUGGGGUUAACCUACCUAUCAGACUGGGAUAAUAUUGGGAGACCGGAGCUUAUGACGGAAAAUAUUUUGACUUGGAUUGGUCACACGUUGAAGUAGGUCUUUGUUUGGCUUAAAGACUGCUACGCGCUGCAUUAGCUAGUUGGGUAGGGGACGGAUUACCAAGGCUACGAUGCAUAACCGACCUGAGAGGGUGAACCGCCACACUGGAACAGAGGCACGGUCCAGACUCCUACGGGGGGCAACAGUAGAGAAUCUUCCGCAAUGGGCGAAAGCCUGACGGAGCAACGCCGCGUGAGUGAUGAAGGUCUUCUGAUCGUAAAACUCUGUUAUUAGGGAAGAACAUAUGUGUAAGUAACUGUGCACAUAUUGACGGUACCGAAUCAGAAAGCCACGGCUAACUACGUG